This 776-nucleotide ribosomal RNA is filed under the name uncultured Neocallimastigales. Its description in RNAcentral is "partial large subunit ribosomal RNA". It matches the Rfam family "Eukaryotic large subunit ribosomal RNA", at positions 23 to 647 of the family's 3401-position model. The record is from RNAcentral. Lineage: Eukaryota; Fungi; Neocallimastigomycota; Neocallimastigomycetes; Neocallimastigales.
AUAGAGACUCAGAGCUGCAUAUCAAUAAGCGGAGGAAAAGAAACUAACAAGGAUUCCCCUAGUAACGGCGAGUGAAGCGGGAAGAGCUCAAAUUUGAAAUCUUAAAGGGUUUCCCUUUACGAAUUGUAGUUUAAAGAAGUGUUUUCUGUUGGAGUUUCGGUAAAAGUUCUUUGGAAUAGGACAUCAUAGAGGGUGAGAAUCCCGUAUUUGGUCAUUCCUCCUAGCGUUGUGAUACACUUUCAACGAGUCGGAUUGUUUGGGAAUGCAGUCCAAAAUGGGUGGUAAAUUUCAUCUAAAGCUAAAUAUUGGCGAGAGACCGAUAGCGAACAAGUACCGUGAGGGAAAGAUGAAAAGAACUUUGAAAAGAGAGUUAAACAGUACGUGAAAUUGUCAAAAGGGAAGCGUUUGACACCAGUGUUGUUUUUCCGAAAAUCAAUUACGAAUGUUUUAUUUUUGAGAAGUUAUGACUUCAUCGGCUUGCUUCUCUCUUUAUGAAACUUUCUUAAUGCACUUUUCGGUUAACAAGUCAACAUCAAUUUCUUUUGUUGUAAAAGGGUAUGAGGAAGGUGGCUUUCUUUUCGGAGAAAGUGUUUAUAGCCUUGUAGCCUCUGCAAUCGGAGAGAUUGAGGUCUGCAGCGUAGAUCCUUCGGGGUUAGAUACAGUUUGUGCUAAGUUAUAGCUUUUCAUAGACAACUUGUUGACUAUGUUUAGUCUUGUAGCUUACUCGCUUAUGCUAUUUUACCUACGCUUAGGAUGUUGACGAGACUGUCGAUCUC